RNAcentral lists this transfer RNA (73 nucleotides) under Angiostrongylus costaricensis. It matches the Rfam family "tRNA". From Rfam's summary of the family: Transfer RNA (tRNA) molecules are approximately 80 nucleotides in length. The record is from Rfam by way of RNAcentral. Lineage: Eukaryota; Metazoa; Nematoda; Chromadorea; Rhabditida; Metastrongylidae.
GCUUCCGCAGCGCCGUCGCCAGCGCGUCAAUCUCAUAAUCUGAAGGUCGUAAAUUCGAGCCUCACCGGAAGCA